Numida meleagris (helmeted guineafowl) is the source of this 1928-nucleotide long non-coding RNA. RefSeq lists it as uncharacterized. The record is from RefSeq and is a predicted model, not a curated record. The transcript is spliced from 2 exons. Lineage: Eukaryota; Metazoa; Chordata; Aves; Galliformes; Numididae.
ACGGGCCUGGCGUGCCGCGGGGGGCGGGUUUGUUGUGUUGUGCCUUCUCUCUCUUUUUUAGGUAAAAAUGCGCGGGCUCUUGCGGCCACGCCUGGGGGUGGGGCCCGAGCGACUGCUGAGCUGCCGCCGGCGGGCGGGACCAGCAGCGCUUUUCCUGGGCGGCCCCGCGGGUCGGUGGGCGGAGGAUCGGUUGGAUGGUCGGCACGGAGGGUUGCCGUGAAUAGCUUUGCGUCCCGGUGGGGGCCGGUCACAGGUCGUGUACCCCAGGGGACCGUCUUGCGGCAGUGCUCUUAAGCAUCUUCAUCAGUGACACAGACAGUGGGAUCGAGUGAGUGCUCAGCAACUUCGCUGGUGACACCAAGCUGAGCGGUGCAGUUCGUACAAUAGAACGGACACCAUCCAGAUGGACCUGGGCAGGCGUGAGGAGUGGGCCCACGUGAGCCUAACGAGGUUCAGCGAGGCCAAGUGCAAGGUGCUGCACUUGGGUUGGGGCAAUCCCAGGUGUUUAUACAGACUGGGGGAAGAACUCAUUGAGAGCAGCCCUGUGGAGAAGGACUUGGGAAUCCUGAUGGACGAAAAGCUGGACACAAGCCAGGAGGCCAACUGUAUCCUGGGCUGCAUCACAAAAGAGGUGGCCAGCAGGGAGAGGGAGGGGAUUGUCCCCCUCUGCUCUGCCCUUGUGAGGCCCUGGCUGGAGUACUGCAUCCAGGGCUGGGCCUCAGCGCAAAAGAGAGUGGAGCUGUUGGAGCGGGUCCAGAGGAGGGCAUGAAGAUGAUCAGAGAGCUGGAGCAGCUGUCCUGUGAAAACAGGCUGAGGGAGCUGGGCUUGCUCAGUCUGGAGAAGAGAAGGCACUGGGGAGGCCUCAGUACAGCCUUUCUUGAAGUACUUAAAAUAAGCUUAUAAGCAGGAGGGAAAUAAACAUUUUACAUGGUCUGAUGGUGAGAGGUCAAGGGGGAGCAGUUUUAAACUAGAAGGGAGAUUUAUGUUAGAUAUGAGGACGAAAUUCUUUACCCAGAGGGCAGUGAGACGCUGGCACAGGCUGCCCAGAGAAGCUGUGGUGCCCCAUCCCUGGAGGUGCUCAAGGCCAGGUUGGAUGGGGCCCUGGGCAGCCUGAGCUGGUGGGGGGCAGCCCUGCCCACGGCAGGGGUUGGGGCAGGGUGGGCUUUUGAGGUUCCUUCCAACCCAUGCUAUUCUGUGAUUCUAUGAAAUGGAAGCAAAGAGAUCUGUUUCUGGCCCUUUCCUUUUCAGUGUCAGAUUGUCCAUGAAUGAGAAAGGAAAUCAGCACACUGCAGAAGUAAAAGGCUCAUGAACCUUUAGCAAUCUUCCCAACUAAGAAAUGCACAACAGCAGGACCUGAGGAGCCUUUAAUUACUAAAGGAAUUCUGUAGCACUGGAUUGCUUCUGUUGUGAUCCGAUCAAACUUGCAAUUCUGAGUAUUUGGUAACAUCAUUUGUGGGAAUAAAUGAGGGAAAAAAGGGUUAGAAUACCGUUUCAAACAAACAAUAAAAGAUGGAUGUUGGUUAAUGGGGCAAGGAAACCUAGAAGUUGCUGAUUGGUCGUUGGAACUGAACUGGAGACUACAUCCUGAAGAAAAAACAGCUGAAGCUGGAUCACCCUAUUCAACCAUGCCAAGUUCAAGAGUACACAGUGAGGAAGAGAUACGGCCUUCAUCCUCACGACCCCGGAAGACGACCACCAGGAGGCACUACGCAUGCUCAAGGGGUGUGACUCUGGAGUGGAAUGUAUGAUAAUAAUUUCUUGGAAUUAACUGUAAUAGUCCCUCCCUCCCUCAGGAAUGCUAUGCAUAUGUACGCCUUUGAUCUUUAAGUAUGGAAGUUUUCUGCCUUUUGGUGUGCAAGCUAGGAUGGUGAUACCCCCGUCACCUGGUGUGUGGGUGCAGUGUCGUAAUAAACAUACCUGCUUUAUAA